UCAGGCCUAACACAUGCAAGUCGAGGGGUACAGUAGCAAUACUGGAGACCGGCGCACGGGUGCGUAACGCGUAUGCAACCUACCUUUUACAGGGGAAUAGCCCAGAGAAAUUUGGAUUAAUGCCCCAUGGUAUAUGUAAUUCGCAUGUUUUACAUAUUAAAGUUCCAACGGUAAAAGAUGGGCAUGCGUCCCAUUAGCUAGAUGGUAAGGUAACGGCUUACCAUGGCUACGAUGGGUAGGGGUCCUGAGAGGGAGAUCCCCCACACUGGUACUGAGACACGGACCAGACUCCUACGGGAGGCAGCAGUGAGGAAUAUUGGACAAUGGGCGCAAGCCUGAUCCAGCCAUGCCGCGUGCAGGAAGAAGCAUCUAUGGUGUGUAAAGUGCUUUGUACGGGAAGAAAC
This 404-nucleotide ribosomal RNA is filed under the name uncultured bacterium. RNAcentral describes it as "bacterial SSU rRNA". It matches the Rfam family "Bacterial small subunit ribosomal RNA", at positions 42 to 450 of the family's 1533-position model. The record is from RNAcentral.